CUAAUCCAAGAACCUAUGGGAGUUUCGAGGUCAUUAUAUAAAACCCGCAGUGCUGCCUGGCGAACGCCAGCCCGGGAGCCACACCCACAGCCAGUGAGAGGAGUGCUGGCUUGGAGCCAGCUGCAAACGUCCGGAAGGAGGUGACUCAAAAAAAAAUAAAGAAUCAGGACCAGAUCGGUGUUUCUUUCCAAAAGAAAGUGGCCCUGCAUUCUCCACCCAGACUCAAGGAACCCCAACGUACAAAUAAAGAUGCUGAGGAAUGUUCCAGCAAA
This is a long non-coding RNA of Suricata suricatta (meerkat), 272 nucleotides long. RefSeq lists it as uncharacterized. The record is from RefSeq and is a predicted model, not a curated record. NCBI's taxonomy places the organism in Eukaryota, Metazoa, Chordata, Mammalia, Carnivora, Herpestidae. The transcript has 2 exons.